CGAAUGCUGACAUAAGUAACGAUAAAGCGGGUGAAAAGCCCGCUCGCCGGAAGACCAAGGGUUCCUGUCCAACGUUAAUCGGGGCAGGGUGAGUCGACCCCUAAGGCGAGGCCGAAAGGCGUAGUCGAUGGGAAACAGGUUAAUAUUCCUGUACUUGGUGUUACUGCGAAGGGGGGACGGAGAAGGCUAUGUUGGCCGGGCGACGGUUGUCCCGGUUUAAGCGUGUAGGCUGGUUUUCCAGGCAAAUCCGGAAAAUCAAGGCUGAGGCGUGAUGACGAGGCACUACGGUGCUGAAGCAACAAAUGCCCUGCUUCCAGGAAAAGCCUCUAAGCAUCAGGUAACAUCAAAUCGUACCCCAAACCGACACAGGUGGUCAGGUAGAGAAUACCAAGGCGCUUGAGAGAACUCGGGUGAAGGAACUAGGCAAAAUGGUGCCGUAACUUCGGGAGAAGGCACGCUGAUAUGUAGGUGAAGUCCCUCGCGGAUGGAGCUGAAAUCAGUCGAAGAUACCAGCUGGCUGCAACUGUUUAUUAAAAACACAGCACUGUGCAAACACGAAAGUGGACGUAUACGGUGUGACGCCUGCCCGGUGCCGGAAGGUUAAUUGAUGGGG
Molecule: ribosomal RNA, 613 nt
Filed under: Escherichia coli
Lineage: Bacteria; Pseudomonadati; Pseudomonadota; Gammaproteobacteria; Enterobacterales; Enterobacteriaceae
Description: partial 23S ribosomal RNA
Rfam family: Bacterial large subunit ribosomal RNA
Source: RNAcentral